Molecule: long non-coding RNA, 132 nt
Organism: Aricia agestis (brown argus)
Lineage: Eukaryota; Metazoa; Arthropoda; Insecta; Lepidoptera; Lycaenidae
Exons: 3
Source: RefSeq, a predicted model, not a curated record
CAUACAUUAUAUAAUCCUAAGCCCCAAUUUCACCAAAGACUGUUAAAGUUAAAGCUCGAAAAAGUAUCACGUUCCCUCAUUCGUUUUUCUUAUAAAUGAAAGAGAAGACAUGACAUUUUAACAAGUUGUUAA